UUCAUAUGUUCGCCAGUGAGGAUGAACCUGCGGAAGGAUCAUUAUUGCAAUCUAGAGUUGGUUGUCGCUGGCCCCAGAGCAUGUGCACGCCUUCUCUUCUUCAUCCACACACACCUGUGCACUUGUGAGACGGAGGAUUGAAAAGUCCUCCGCCUACUUAACCACACAAACUCAUCGUACUUAAACUGAAUGUAAUUGAUGUAACGCAUCAUUAGAACAAAGUUUCAACAACGGAUCUCUUGGCUCUCGCAUCGAUGAAGAACGCAGCGAAAUGCGAUAAGUAAUGUGAAUUGCAGAAUUCAGUGAAUCAUCGAAUUUUUGAACGCAUCUUGCGCUCCUUGGUAUUCCUUGGAGCAUGCCUGUUUGAGUAUCAUGGUAAAUCUCAAAGUAAAUUCAUUUGAUUGGGUUUGCUUUGGACUUGGAGGUCUUGCAGAUUUCACCGUCUGCUCCUCUUAAAUGCAUUAGCUGGAUCUCAGUAUGAUGCUUGGUUCCACUCGGCGUGAUAAGUAUCACUCGCUGAGGACACUGUAAAAGGUGGCCAGGAAAAUACAGAUCGAACCGCUUCUAAUAGUCUAUUGAGUUAGACAAUUACUUAAAGUUGGAUCUCAAAUCAGGUAGGACUACCCGCUGAACUUAAGCAUAUCAAAUAAGCGGAGGGAAAA
This 662-nucleotide ribosomal RNA is filed under the name uncultured fungus. Its description in RNAcentral is "eukaryotic LSU rRNA". The stretch from base 220 to 373 matches the Rfam family "5.8S ribosomal RNA". The record is from RNAcentral. Lineage: Eukaryota; Fungi.